GUGAAUCAUCAAAUUUUUGAACGCAAAUUGCACUCUCUUCGGAGAGUAUGCCUGUUUGAGGGUCAGCCUAAAAAAAAAUUGACGUUGUUGUUGUUUUGCGGUGAUCUUUGUUGGAAAUUUGGUUAUUUUUAACCUUUGGGUUUUUUAAGUGGCUUAAAAUUUUUUUUACGGUUUCACGAACGUUUUUAAGUUUUUUCUUUCUAUCCACGUUUUAGGUUUCGAUCUUUAUUUAAUCUUGCCUU
This 242-nucleotide unclassified non-coding RNA is filed under the name Glomus sp. RNAcentral describes it as "partial contains 5.8S ribosomal RNA and internal transcribed spacer 2". The stretch from base 1 to 65 matches the Rfam family "5.8S ribosomal RNA", at positions 84 to 154 of the family's 154-position model. The record is from RNAcentral. Lineage: Eukaryota; Fungi; Glomeromycota; Glomeromycetes; Glomerales; Glomeraceae.